UACGUAGGUGGCAAGCGUUAUCCGGAUUUAUUGGGCGUAAAGAGAACGCAGGCGGUCUUUUAAGUCUGAUGUGAAAGCCUUCGGCUUAACCGGAGUAGUGCAUUGGAAACUGGGAGACUUGAGUGCAGAAGAGGAGAGUGGAACUCCAUGUGUAGCGGUGAAAUGCGUAGAUAUAUGGAAGAACACCAGUGGCGAAAGCCGCUCUCUGGUCUGUAACUGACGCUGAGGUUCGAAAGCGUGGGUAGCAAACAGG
Molecule: ribosomal RNA, 253 nt
Filed under: uncultured bacterium
Lineage: Bacteria
Description: partial 16S ribosomal RNA
Rfam family: Bacterial small subunit ribosomal RNA
Source: RNAcentral